CCCUGGGAGGGCCCCAAGUUUGCGCCAUGCCCUGCAUUAAACACUUUUUUUUUUUUGCGGGCAAUGUUCCAGUAGCAUUCUCUCCCGACAUUUCGCCUGCAUCUGUGGCCUAAUGGCAUCUUCAGAAGGCCUUGUGAAGUCUGUUGGAAACUAACUAGGCAAGUGGGGUGCAUAUAUAUCUGUAGAAUAAUGUCCAGAGUGAGAGACAGAAAAAAACUCUGCCUGUUUGAGAAAAAGUGUGAAUAUUGCAGUUAGCAAGCUUGAUUAGCAUUGCAGCUUCAAAACCUGGCUGUUGUUGCCUGGAGGCUCCCUCUGUUUGGGAGGUGUUAACUGGCCCUUGAUUGGGUUGCUGUGAGUUUUCUGGGCUGUAUGGCCAUGUUCCAGAAACAUUCACCUGCUUGUGUGGGAGGCAUCUUCAGAGGUUGUGAGGUCUGUUGGAAACUAACUAGGCAAGUGGGGUGCAUAUAUAACUGUGGAAUGAUGUCCAGGGGGGAAAACUUUACCUUUACCUUUGUGGUGUGAAAGGGACUGUACGUACAUUCAUAUUGUUUUCUUGUAAUAAUAAAUUUUUAUUAGUAACCCGGCUCGAGACAGGGCACAUUAUCAUUAUCAUAAUAAAGCACAUUCCAUAUAAUUGUACACGUGAAAAUAUAUUUUUACAAAAUACACCUAUGAAAAUAGAUGGAACAAAGAUUAAUAAUAGUAAUUCAGUAUAGUCUUGCUUAUCCGAUAUAAACGGGCUGGCAGAACGUUGGAUAAGUGAAAAUGUUGGAUAAUAAGGAGGGAUUAAGGAAAAUCCCUCCUUAUUAAACAUCAAAUUACGUUAUGGUUUUACAAAUUAAUCACCAAAAAAUCAUGUUUUACAACAAAUUGACAGAAAAAGCAAUUCAAUAGACAGUAAGGUUAUGUAGAAGUUACUGUAUUUACAAAUUUUGCACCAAUAUAUUGAAAACAUAGACUACAAAAACACUGACUACUAAAAGGCAGACUGCGUUGGAUAAUCCAGAACGUUGGGCAAGCCAAGGUUGGAUAAUCGAGAGACUACUGUAAUAAUGAUAAUACUGUAAUAAAUUAUAUUUCUUACUCGCCUCUCCUCGAAGCGAGUUAUAGAAUAAUUAAAGCCCAUAAAUAAAAAUACUACAAAUACACAUAUUAAACCGUAUUUCUAUAAAAGACAUGUUAAAGUAUACAAAGGCAAGAAGCAUUGGAUGUAAAUUUGAAAUUUACAAUUUAAUGCUGAACUGCUUUCCAGGCCCUUCAAAGAACCAGUGAAGUUUGAGCGGCCCCAUCUGCACUGCCAUUAUAAUGCGGAUUAAACUGCAUUGUAUGGUCAGUGUAGACUACUGCUAUAAUGCUGUUUGA
RNAcentral lists this long non-coding RNA (1362 nucleotides) under Anolis carolinensis (green anole). RNAcentral's name for it is "lncRNA (ENSACAG00000042975.1)". Lineage: Eukaryota; Metazoa; Chordata; Lepidosauria; Squamata; Anolidae. The record is from RNAcentral.